This 425-nucleotide ribosomal RNA is filed under the name uncultured bacterium. RNAcentral describes it as "partial 16S ribosomal RNA". It matches the Rfam family "Bacterial small subunit ribosomal RNA", at positions 354 to 796 of the family's 1533-position model. The record is from RNAcentral.
GUGGGGAAUCUUGCGCAAUGGGCGAAAGCCUGACGCAGCCAUGCCGCGUGAAUGAUGAAGGUCUUAGGAUUGUAAAAUUCUUUCACCGGGGACGAUAAUGACGGUACCCGGAGAAGAAGCCCCGGCUAACUUCGUGCCAGCAGCCGCGGUAAUACGAAGGGGGCUAGCGUUGCUCGGAAUUACUGGGCGUAAAGGGCGCGUAGGCGGAUCGUUAAGUCAGGGGUGAAAUCCCAUAGCUCAACUCUGGAACUGCCCUUGAUACUGGCGAUCUUGAGUGUGAGAGAGGUAUGUGGAACUCCGAGUGUAGAGGUGAAAUUCGUAGAUAUUCGGAAGAACACCAGUGGCGAAGGCGACAUACUGGCUCAUUACUGACGCUGAGGCGCGAAAGCGUGGGGAGCAAACAGGAUUAGAAACCCUUGUAGUCC